Molecule: ribosomal RNA, 498 nt
Filed under: uncultured bacterium
Lineage: Bacteria
Description: partial 16S ribosomal RNA
Rfam family: Bacterial small subunit ribosomal RNA
Source: RNAcentral
GACGAACGCUGGCGGCGUGCCUAAUACAUGCAAGUCGAACGAGAGCAACCGGUUCUUGCACUGUUCUCUCUAGUGGCGAACGUGUGUGUCACACGUGGAUCACCUGCCCAUCAGAGGGGGAUCUCAUCCGGACACGGAUGCUAACACCGCAUAGGUCUUCGAUCCGCAUGGUUUGAAGAGGAAAUUAGGCGCAAGCUUCUGCUGUUGGAUGUACCCGCGUUGCAUUAGCUAGUUGGUGUGGUAACGGCUCACCAAGGCCGUGAUGCAUAGCCGAACGGAGAGAGUGAUAGGCGACAUGGGGAAGGAGACACGGACAAAAGGACUAAGGGAGGCAGCAGAAGGGAAUGUGAGGCAAUGGACGCAAGUAUGACGGAGCAACGCAGCGUGAGAGAAGAAGGUGUUCGGAGCGUAAAACUCUGUUGUGAGAGAAAAACAAGUGCUAGAGUAAAUGUUAGCGGCGUGACGGUAUCUAACAAGAAAGCAACGGCUAACUACGUG